CUGUAACGGGGGUGGCUGUGGAGGAGAGCAAGUCCUAGGCCGCCUCAGAGGCGUGCGUGUGAGCCCCGUUUUGAAGCCUAGUUCUGUCCAUUUCUAGCUGAAUGAUGAUGGCCCUGAGCCUGUCUCCCCUGUGAGGAUGACAGAGCUCUGUGGACAUGAAAGUCUAAAUCCCAAUGUCUGAAGUCUUUGUGGGCCUGAUCGUAUGGUGCGCUGUUUCGGCCGCUCUCGCUCGUGGUGAUGUGUUCCCCUUACGCGCCGAGGUUUUGACUAUGAGCCUCCACAGUGGGGAAUCCUGCGAUAAUUCUACACGGCCUGGGGCAGAGAGCCUCAGAGCAGCCUCAGCAUCACCUGGGAACUCGUCAGAGAUGCAGAAUUUCAGGCUCCACCGAGAGCCACAGAAUCUGAAUCAGCAUGUUUACAAGACCCCACGUGACUUCACCAGGAGCCUUCUCUCUGGAAACCCUCAGCUACCAGCCACUCAUGCCUUAGUGUAUUUAAAGAAACUUCGUAGGAGUCAGAGACACGACUAGACUCUUCUCUGGCCGGGAGUGCACCUGUCUGGUUACUGGUGCAGUUUUCAUCCGUGUGUAGAAGAUUCCCAUGGGUGUCCACAGCACAACAAAGACAAAGGACUUUGUCCCUCUAUAUUCAAGGGUCUAUUUCCCUGGGAAAGUGAGUGAACAAAGGAAGCAGUCCAGAGCCCAGUUUUAGGAACCAUAAAAUUAAAUAAGACUACUUUAAAUUCCAUGUAAUCAAAUGUCCAUUGUCCUGCUUGAGCCUGGUCUUGUGUGAACUCCAUCAUGUACUCAACAUCCCUGACCCUUUCAAUAUGGCUGCCCCUUAUUGAGCGCUCGCGCUGAGCCAGACGCUGGGCUCAGUGCUUGAUGGGCGUCAUCUUGUUUAAUCCCCACGACAUCCCUGUGCAGAGAUGAGAUGAGUGCGGCUCAGGGAUGCCUGUGCAGAGGUGAGAUGAUGAGACUUCGGUCACUCCCCUGUCCACAGUCACAGGGCUGGUAAAUGGUAGAGUUCGGAUUAGAACCCAGGGCUUUGACACAAAGCCCAUUCUCUUUCUGCUCCUCUGUGUGCAGCACCCAGCUAAGUGCCUGGAACAAAGCAGGCCCUCAAGAAAUGUUUUAAAAUGAAUGAAUGUUUCCAUGUACAGACUACUGUUUAUUGAAUGCCUCCCUUGUUAGUUCAAAUCCUAGCAACAAUCCGGAAAGGGGCUGAUGAUUCCUAUCUGUUUUAAAGAUAAGCACCCUAAGCUUCAGAGAAGUUAAGUAAAUUUCCCAAAGUCAUGGAGUCAAGGAGUCGUUGAGCUGCGAUUUGAAUUCAAGCCUUUCUUUCUGAUGCCUAAAGCCGUGCACUGUUGUCAGUCCCAUCCACCCCUCUAAAAUGGGGAAUUUAAUCUUGGGAAGGGAUGUCUCAGGAUUGACAUGUUACCAGUGGUGUUGGAGAGGGACGUAACUGUCCCUGUGCCUCCAGGGGACAGACCCUGGAGCAGUGAGUGAGAAUUAAAUGGAGGCAGAUGGUGGCUGGAGAUAUGGAACAACUUUUAGCAAGUGUCUGACAAAGUGAGGGAGUGAGCACCCCGUCACUAGGGGUGUUGGAUGGCUGUCUCUGAGAGGGCCCAAAGGUUGACGGAGGGUGACUUCCAAGUUCCCUUUGGCUCUGAGAGUCCCGCGGCGCUGUCAUUUUCUCGGUCAGCCCUGGAAACCCCUGGAGAGGAUGACUCAGAGCCAUCCCCUCUGAGCGGGGUAGUUCAGAAGAACACAAUGCUGCUUAUUCUAGCUUCUGGGAGGUAUUUGGAAAAGUCUUGGUUGACAAGGAAGUCAUUGGGGAAUUGACAACUCUCGGAUCAGCUUCUUUCUUCCUUUGCUGGCCGCACCCAGUCACCUUUCAUGGGGGCCCGGUUCUUUUGACACACACCAAGUAGAGAAUGUGACCUAGCAGGUUCCGAUCUUGGGACUCAGCUGGGAAAAAAUGGAAAUCUCAAAUAAAUGGAACCCAUUAUGAUUUACAAUUGAAUCUCAAAGGGCUGGUCCCCUAAAAUGCCCUCUUCCAACCAAAUAAUCUGAGCUCAGAGCUGUGAAUGCCCCGAACUGUCCUUCGAAGACAAGUCCCAAUGUGUAUUGUCCCCUACCUGCCAAGUGUGCCAAGUCGGUUUUCCUGAAGUCCACGGGCCUGGGACCUCUAGCCGCCUGCUUUAUCACACUGAAAAUCUUCUAAACUAUGAAUAGUAACAGUAACGACUUAUAUUUGUACAGAAGGUUGCAAUUGACUGAGUACUUCUAUGUCAUCCCCGUUCUAGCCUCCGAAGACCCCACGUGAGAGGUAAAGUGCAAAGUGUCAUCCCCAUUAUUCAGACCAGGAACACGAGGGUCUGAAGAUGGAGAGAUUCAGGGAUUUGAUCAAAGGCACAUAGUUUCCAGGGUGCAGAUCCAGGACCUGAAUCUACAUUUCUUGAUUCCAAAUUCAGCUACAGCUACUGACUGUGCUUUUGGGGGAGAUCCUUUGACUUCCUGCAUCAGUGCAGCCUCUGGGAAUAAAUAAUUUUAUAUGAGGAGAAGAGUUUAGUUUUCCUAAACUUGGAAGCGAAAAUGCUUCAGUGGAUCAUCUUAGGCUACAGCUGUCCCAGAUGCCCUCCAUGGCUCCUCUCUGGUAUCACAGCAGAAAAUCCUUUGGGGGCUCCAUUGUGGUUAUGAAAAUGUUCACGCCUCUUUUCACAAGAGAAGGCAGUGUUGUGUAGUGGCUGAGAGCAUGGGUUCAAGUUCUGCCUCCUGUUCAGCUGUGUGGCCUUGGACAAGUUAACUAACCUCCCUGAACCUCAAUUUUGCAUGGCCAACUUCUGGGGAUGUGGUCAUGAUCAAAGGAGAUAGAGUGCUGGAGAGCAUAGCACAGUGUUCAUUUCAUAGUAGAUGCUCCUGAAACACGGACUGCACAUGGGUAUAUAAAGCAAGGGCUGAAGGCCAAACACUCGCACUGCCAAGACUCAUUCUUCCAGCACAUACCAGGUGCUUGCUCCUUGGCUCCUUGAGGCAACCCUACAAGGCCGGUGUUAUUAUUCCCAUUUUACACACACGGAAACUGAGGCUUACUUGCCAGCUACUGUCUUCCAUGUGUGUCAGAGCUAGGAUUUGAACUCAGCUCUGUCUGACUCUGAUUCCAAUGCUCCACUGUGCGGCAGAAGGUCACUAGUAUGUAGAGAUUGGAUAGCGUGCAUUACUGAUCAGGAGUGGUGGCAGGAACCUCCAAAAUGGGGUGUCCAAGGACUGGCCCUCCAGAGCUGUCUCUGUCACACUUGCUCUGCAACUGUGAGCCAGGCACAUCAUCUCUCUGGGCCUCACUAGCUUCAUCUGUGGACCAAGGAGGUUGGACGAUAGUCUUGGAGACUCUUUCCGGCUCUGACCUGCUGCGACGCUCCUCAGAUUUCAGAAGGACUCCGGUACCUGAUCCUGCAAUGGAGGGAGCGUAACAGUGGGCCCUGAAUCUCAAAUCCGUUUUGCCUUUUGAAGCCAUGUGUUUCUGCGUGAAUUCAGAAUCUGCCAGAGGAAAACUCCCUAAUUAUCCUACGGGGACUAGCCCAGCCAGUAAUUACGCCUAUUAUUUUAAAUUGUAUUUUAUAAGAUGCCUUUCAUCCAAGAUCUCAAAGGGCUUCUCAAACAUUCAUUAGAGGAACCCCACCCCCUCCUGUGUGGAUAUGAAAGGCAGAGACUGAUUUUAAUAUCAGCAAGAAGAGGUCGGGGCAGAGAGAAGGGGACUGAGAUCCCAGGAGUAAUUUCACCUCUGAGUUCAAAGGAGAAAAGAAAGAAAUACGCCAGGGAAAUGUUCGCCUUCAGAAGGAGUUCAGGGGCUAUUCAGUGAAGAGCAGACGGAUCAGGAAAUGUUCCUCCUUGUCAAAAGGAGCCUACGAGAGGCACUCUCCUUCAGUGGGGCUCAGUUCAAUUUGGCUUGCUUCAUUUCACUCUAGAAUUAUCCACCAGUUGUCUUUGGAGCUGAUCUCCAGCUCACAGGCCUGUGCGAAGUGAUGUGAAAGGUGUAAGUGGAUCAAGGGUUUCAGAGAGCACUCAUUAUAGACUUGGGAACAUUAGUGUAAGCGGGAGGGCACAGGAACCUCCCAGGAGGGCCCUGAUGGCUGCCUUAAACAAAUGGCUGAAGCCAAGGCUAAGAGGCCCCCCCAUGUAGCCAGUGGCUGCCCCAACACCUCCCUGGCGGUAGGCGGAGGGAAAUGAAUCUGGGUCAAUAUGCUAAGUCCAGGGACUUGAUUAACAAACGACCUAGAAGGACCAUUUUGAGUAGCUCAUCAUGAGGGCCGCUUUUCUCCUUCCCUCCUCCCUGUCCUGCGUGAUACUUGUCCCAAGUUCCUUUCCUCUCCAUUCCAAUGGAUGGAUAGAAGUGAUCACUAUGUAGCAUGAGAAGCUUCAGUCUCCCAGGGCUGGGCAAGGGGCCAGCAGUCUUUCCUGCUGGUCUGUGAGCUCGUGGAGGACAGACUCUGCCUGCCUGUUCACCGUGUUCCCCAGCACGUGUUCUGGCCAGAGUGGUGGAUGCUCAGAACAUAUUCAUUGACUAAAGGAGCAGAUCACCAGCUGCCACUCUAAUUCUGGCCUUGCAAGAUGGUCUGAUGCAGGCCGGAGAAGGAUCCUUUCCUUCCUCAGCUUGGAGACGACUAGAUUCAAAGGACAACCAGGGCCACACAGCUCCAGCGACUUCAGAAGCUAAAGACAGAAGUCAUGUUAAGCUGGGGGUGAGGGUCCCAAUGACGUGGUGACUGAGGACCCCAGGAUGAGAUGGUGGGGGAAGCAAGGCAUGUGGUCUGAAGUAGCGAAAGGGAGGACUGUCCUGGGUACUGGGAGCAUGGGGUCCUUCAGGAAGAAGGUUGGGACCUACGGGGUAAGGCUCCCAACCAUUCACUGAUGGGGGCUCCCAGGGCCCAUGACUGGUACUCAGGGCAAUACAGCCUGAAGGGAUGCGAGUGACAGGAGAGGAGGACGAGGCGCGGCCUUGCCCACAAGGAGCCGGGAGUUUUGUUGUGGAGAUUAGAUUUACACACAGAGCGAUUAGAGAACAACGCAAGCAGAUCUGUCACUGACUAGAUUGGGAGUUUCCUGUUUGGAGAGAGAGGGUCUUACUCAUUGCAGUGUUUCUUGUCGGGCCUGACAGAGGUCCAGGCACUUUCUCUGCUCCAGAUACACUUGAUGAUCAGCUGUCGCAUUGGAUGGUGUGAAAAGUCAAUGGUCCAGAUUAGAAAAGGGAGGAAUCUGGAGGCCGAGAUGUGGGAGAAGGCUUCAAGAGAGAGGAGGAGCUGUGGUGGCUGCUAAUAAACGCCCAGGGAAAAGUGUUCCCCACUACCUUGUCAAGGCUUUCAUGGCAUGAGAAACUGUGAG
Molecule: long non-coding RNA, 5381 nt
Organism: Equus caballus (horse)
Lineage: Eukaryota; Metazoa; Chordata; Mammalia; Perissodactyla; Equidae
Source: Ensembl